AUACGGAGGGUCCGAGCGUUAUCCGGAAUCAUUGGGUUUAAAGGGCCCGUAGGCGGGAAUCUAAGUCAGUGGUGAAAUCUUGCAGCUCAACUGUAAAAUUGCCAUUGAUACUGGAUUUCUUGAAUUAGUGUGAAGUGGUUAGAAUGUGUAGUGUAGCGGUGAAAUGCAUAGAUAUUACACAGAAUACCAAUUGCGAAGGCAGAUCACUAACACUAUAUUGACGCUAAGGGACGAAAGCGUGGGGAGCGAACAGGAUUAGAAACCCUAGUAGUCC
This 274-nucleotide ribosomal RNA is filed under the name uncultured bacterium. RNAcentral describes it as "partial 16S ribosomal RNA". It matches the Rfam family "Bacterial small subunit ribosomal RNA", at positions 523 to 796 of the family's 1533-position model. The record is from RNAcentral.